This is a long non-coding RNA of Ornithodoros turicata, 423 nucleotides long. RefSeq lists it as uncharacterized. The transcript is spliced from 3 exons. The record is from RefSeq and is a predicted model, not a curated record. Lineage: Eukaryota; Metazoa; Arthropoda; Arachnida; Ixodida; Argasidae.
UAUGAGUUUUGGCCAUCCCGCACAUUCUAGUGCAUCUUCCAGCACACUACGUAGAAGUGCCUUUGAAAACGAGGUGAUCAGGGUGCUGCAUCCGAUCCGCCUUACUCAAGAGGAUCAUUCAGCUCAGAUGAAUACUCUGACGUCUGGCCUGGAGGAGCGCCCAUCAGUGACUGCAGCAGAAGAGCGCGUAUUUGAGCCCUAUGAAGAGCUAGAUAAGUUCCUCGAAUUUGACAUGACUCUGUAAGAUGACACUGAGAUGAAGAAGUUGACAGAAACUCUGCGGAAGUAUGGAGGUAUCAAUCUCAGGGACGCCACACAAAGAAUCCUAAGAGCGUUGAUGUCAGACGAAGUCGCAACGGCAUUCAGCUGGAGAGGAAACAAAGGGAAAAAAAGGUUCUGCGACCUUCUCUGCUGCGAGGCUGU